UGGGGAAUUUUGGACAAUGGGGGAAACCCUGAUCCAGCCAUCCCGCGUGUGCGAUGAAGGCCUUCGGGUUGUAAAGCACUUUUUGCAGGAAAGAAACGUCAUGGGUUAAUACCCCGUGAAACUGACGGUACCUGCAGAAUAAGCACCGGCUAACUACGUGCCAGCAGCCGCGGUAAUACGUAGGGUGCAAGCGUUAAUCGGAAUUACUGGGCGUAAAGCGUGCGCAGGCGGUUCGGAAAGAAAGAUGUGAAAUCCCAGAGCUCAACUUUGGAACUGCAUUUUUAACUACCGGGCUAGAGUGUGUCAGAGGGAGGUGGAAUUCCGCGUGUAGCAGUGAAAUGCGUAGAUAUGCGGAGGAACACCGAUGGCGAAGGCAGCCUCCUGGGAUAACACUGACGCUCAUGCACGAAAGCGUGGGGAGCAAACAGG
This 429-nucleotide ribosomal RNA is filed under the name Acidobacteriota bacterium. RNAcentral describes it as "Acidobacteria bacterium partial 16S ribosomal RNA". It matches the Rfam family "Bacterial small subunit ribosomal RNA", at positions 355 to 776 of the family's 1533-position model. Lineage: Bacteria; Pseudomonadati; Acidobacteriota. The record is from RNAcentral.